Molecule: long non-coding RNA, 608 nt
Organism: Drosophila novamexicana
Lineage: Eukaryota; Metazoa; Arthropoda; Insecta; Diptera; Drosophilidae
Exons: 3
Source: RefSeq, a predicted model, not a curated record
CAUGUUUAUGUCAGCCAAGUGCAAUAUACUUUAUUUUCGCUGUAAAUACUGUGUUAUUAUUAUAGAACUGGCAACAACAAACAAUGAUUGACGUUUAUAUCUGAUGAAUUAUAACAUAUUCUGUCCAACUUAUUAUACGUUAUCAAUUGCAAUAAAUAUAAUAAAAAAUACGUGAGAAAAGUGAAGGUCGUAUAUACUGAGUUUGAUGAAAAUAUCUUGGAAAACAGAAUAUUUACCAUAUCUACUGCUCGACCGAUCUUUCCUAAGGAAGCACAGUGAAACUGAUAAAUGUCGGGUUUCGUUUGGUCAACAUAAAAUUUGUUCACACGAGAAUCUACUUUUCGACCAAUCGUUCCUAUGACAGCUAUAUGAUAUAGUAUUCCGAUCCGGUCGACAUGUCGACUUUUUGAUUAAUGCACUGGCUGCAGAGGAAAUAUGGACCUAUGCAAAGUUUCGAGACGAUAGCUUUUAAACUGAGAGACUGCUUCUCAUGGAAUCAGACAGGUGGGCUUGGCUAUAUCAAUUGGCUGAUCUAGAAUAGAUAUAGCUUACGAGGUUGGAGAAGUCUCCUUAUAUGCGUUACAUAUUUAAUUACAAAAUUAUAAUAC